UUACAGUCUAGAGAAGGUGGCGAAGAAAUGUAACGGGGCUAGAGUUGUUUAUAGCUUGAUAGGAAAGAGUUAGUAUUUUGAAUUUACUCCUAUAGGGUACAGGAAGUCAAAGUAAGGAUUGACAGAAGGGCGAUGUGCGAGAGCAGAAACAGGAGAGAAAAAUCAGCCUGGUGGCAAAAUUCAUUUCAGACUGUAGCGACUACGAGGCAGCACGGCUUCUGGGAAGACAAACAUAGGAGAGAAGUACAUAUAUAUACAUAUGAUAUCAAAAGUAUUAAUUUAAUCAGGUAAAUAAA
Non-coding RNA from Pelobates cultripes (western spadefoot toad), 296 nucleotides. The record is from the annotation of a GenBank genome assembly. Lineage: Eukaryota; Metazoa; Chordata; Amphibia; Anura; Pelobatidae.